AUUGAACGCUGGCGGAAUGCCUAACACAUGCAAGUCGAGCGGGGUGUAGCAAUACACCUAGCGGCGGACGGGUGAGGAAUACAUAGGAAUCUACCUUUUUGUGGGGAUAGCCCGGGGAAACCCGGAUUAAUACCGCAUGAUCUCGCAAGAGCAAAGCGGGGGACCGGUAAGGCCUCGCGCUGAAAGAUGAGCCUAUGUCGGAUUAGCUAGUUGGCGGGGUAAAGGCCCACCAAGGCGACGAUCCGUAGCUGGUCUGAGAGGACGAUCAGCCACACCGGAACUGAGACACGGUCCGGACUCCUACGGGAGGCAGCAGUGGGGAAUAUUGGACAAUGGGCGCAAGCCUGAUCCAGCAAUUCCGCGUGUGUGAAGAAGGCCUUCGGUUGUAAG
This 390-nucleotide ribosomal RNA is filed under the name uncultured bacterium. Its description in RNAcentral is "bacterial SSU rRNA". It matches the Rfam family "Bacterial small subunit ribosomal RNA", at positions 30 to 429 of the family's 1533-position model. The record is from RNAcentral.